RNAcentral lists this ribosomal RNA (443 nucleotides) under uncultured bacterium. Its description in RNAcentral is "bacterial SSU rRNA". It matches the Rfam family "Bacterial small subunit ribosomal RNA", at positions 958 to 1401 of the family's 1533-position model. The record is from RNAcentral.
AACGCGAAGAACCUUACCUACCCUUGACAUGCUCGGAAUUUGCCAGAGAUGGUGAAGUGCCUUCGGGAACCGAGACACAGGUGCUGCAUGGCUGUCGUCAGCUCGUGUCGUGAGAUGUUGGGUUAAGUCCCGUAACGAGCGCAACCCUUGUCCUUAGUUGCCAACAGGUAGUGCUGGGAACUCUAAGGAGACUGCCGGUGAUAAGCCGGAGGAAGGUGGGGAUGACGUCAAGUCCUCAUGGCCCUUACGGGUAGGGCUACACACGUGUUACAAUGGACAGUACAGAGGGAAGCGAAGCCGCGAGGUGGAGCGAAUCUUUUAAAAGCUGUUCGUAGUCCGGAUUGGAGUCUGCAACUCGACUCCAUGAAGUUGGAAUCGCUAGUAAUCGCGGAUCAGAACGCCGCGGUGAAUACGUUCCCGGGCCUUGUACACACCGCUACAGU